UAAGCAAUUAUACAGCGAAACUGCGAAUGGCUCAUUAUAUAAGUUAUCGUUUAUUUGAUAGUACCUUACUACUUGGAUAACCGUGGUAAUUCUAGAGCUAAUACAUGCUAAAAAUCCCGACUUCGGAAGGGAUGUAUUUAUUAGAUUAAAAACCAAUGCCCUCUGGGCUCUUUGGUGAUUCAUGAUAACUUCUCGAAUCGCACGGCCUUGCGCCGGCGAUGGUUCAUUCAAAUUUCUUCCCUAUCAACUUUCGAUGUUUGGGUAUUGGCCAAACAUGGUUGCAACGGGUAACGGAGGGUUAGGGCUCGACCCCGGAGAAGGAGCCUGAGAAACGGCUACUACAUCCAAGGAAGGCAGCAGGCGCGCAAAUUACCCAAUCCCGACACGGGGAGGUAGUGACAAUAAAUACUGAUACAGGGCUCUUUUGGGUCUUGUAAUUGGAAUGAGUACAAUUUAAAUCCCUUAACGAGGAACAAUUGGAGGGCAAGUCUGGUGCCAGCAGCCGCGGUAAUUCCAGCUCCAAUAGCGUAUAUUAAAGUUGUUGUGGUUAAAAAGCUCGUAGUUGAACCUUGGGCCUGGCUGGCCGGUCCGCCUCACCGCGUGUACUGGUCCGGCCGGGCCUUUCCCUCUGUGGAACCUCAUGCCCUUCACUGGGUGUGACGGGGAAACAGGACUUUUACUUUGAAAAAAUUAGAGUGCUCCAGGCAGGCCUAUGCUCGAAUACAUUAGCAUGGAAUAAUAAAAUAGGACGUGUGGUUCUAUUUUGUUGGUUUCUAGGACCGCCGUAAUGAUUAAUAGGGACAGUCGGGGGCAUCAGUAUUCAAUUGUCAGAGGUGAAAUUCUUGGAUUUAUUGAAGACUAACUACUGCGAAAGCAUUUGCCAAGGAUGUUUUCAUUAAUCAGGAACGAAAGUUAGGGGAUCGAAGACGAUCAGAUACCGUCGUAGUCUUAACCAUAAACUAUGCCGACUAGGGAUCGGACGAUGUUAUUUUUUGACGCGUUCGGCACCUUACGAGAAAUCAAAGUGCU
This 1029-nucleotide ribosomal RNA is filed under the name Parengyodontium album. RNAcentral's name for it is "SSU rRNA". It matches the Rfam family "Eukaryotic small subunit ribosomal RNA", at positions 66 to 1107 of the family's 1831-position model. Lineage: Eukaryota; Fungi; Ascomycota; Sordariomycetes; Hypocreales; Cordycipitaceae. The record is from RNAcentral.